UCUUACGGGGGGCAGCAGUGAGGAAUAUUGGUCAAUGGGCGGGAGCCUGAACCAGCCAAGUCGCGUGAGGGAAGACGGUCCUAUGGAUUGUAAACCUCUUUCGGCGGGGAGCAAUGCCGGGCACGCGUGCCCGGAGGGAGAGUACCCGCAGAAUAAGCAUCGGCUAACUCCGUGCCAGCAGCCGCGGUAAUACGGAGGAUGCUAGCGUUAUCCGGAUUUUUUGGGUUUAAAGGGUUCGUAGGCGGAUUUUUAAGUCAGAGGUAACAUGUUCGG
Molecule: ribosomal RNA, 273 nt
Filed under: uncultured bacterium
Lineage: Bacteria
Description: partial 16S ribosomal RNA
Rfam family: Bacterial small subunit ribosomal RNA
Source: RNAcentral